RNAcentral lists this ribosomal RNA (484 nucleotides) under uncultured bacterium. RNAcentral describes it as "partial 16S ribosomal RNA". It matches the Rfam family "Bacterial small subunit ribosomal RNA", at positions 28 to 523 of the family's 1533-position model. The record is from RNAcentral.
GACGAACGCUGGCGGCGUGCUUAACACAUGCAAGUCGAACGAUGAACCCGGAGCUUUCUCCGGUGGAUUAGUGGCGAACGGGUGAGUAACACGUGAGUAACCUGCCCUUGACUCUGGGAUAACUGCGGGAAACUGUAGCUAAUACCGGAUACGACCCUCGGCGGCAUCGCCAGGGGGUGGAAAGAAUGUCGGUCAAGGAUGGACUCGCGGCCUACCAGCUAGUUGGUGAGGUAACGGCUCACCAAGGCGACGACGGGUAGCCGGCCUGAGAGGGUGACCGGCCACACUGGGACUGAGACACGGCCCAGACUCCUACGGGAGGCAGCAGUGGGGAAUAUUGCACAAUGGGCGCAAGCCUGAUGCAGCAACGCCGCGUGAGGGAUGACGGCCUUCGGGUUGUAAACCUCUUUUAGUAGGGAAGAAGCGAAAGUGACGGUACCUGCAGAAAAAGCACCGGCCAACUACGUGCCAGCCGCCGCCGUAA